GUGGUGGCACAAAAUCGGAAGCCCCGACUGUUUACUAAAAACACAGCUAUCUGCAACGAUGUAAAUCAUAGUAUAGGUAGUGAGGUUUGCCCGAUGCCAUUAAUAUAAGAGAAGUGAUGGGUAACUGUUAAUUAUCGAAAGUCUGGUUAAUAGCGGUCUUAACUAUGAGGAUCCUAAGGUAGCAAAAUAAAUUGGCCAUUAAAUGUGGUCCGGUAUCAAUAAUUUAACGAUGGCUUCACUGUCUCUACAACUUGCUCAGUGAAA
This 264-nucleotide ribosomal RNA is filed under the name Suilloid fungal sp. 29MR. RNAcentral's name for it is "partial large subunit ribosomal RNA". It matches the Rfam family "Bacterial large subunit ribosomal RNA", at positions 1773 to 2041 of the family's 2925-position model. The record is from RNAcentral. Lineage: Eukaryota; Fungi; Basidiomycota; Agaricomycetes; Boletales; Boletaceae.